This 73-nucleotide transfer RNA is filed under the name Columba livia (rock pigeon). It matches the Rfam family "tRNA". Rfam says of the family: Transfer RNA (tRNA) molecules are approximately 80 nucleotides in length. Their secondary structure includes four short double-helical elements and three loops (D, anti-codon, and T loops). The record is from Rfam by way of RNAcentral. Lineage: Eukaryota; Metazoa; Chordata; Aves; Columbiformes; Columbidae.
GGGGAAUUAGCUCAAAUGGUAGAGUGCUCGCUUAACAUGCGAGAGGUAGUAGUAUCGAUGCCUGCAUUCUCCA